UACGGGGGGGGCUAGCGUUGUUCGGAAUUACUGGGCGUAAAGGGCGCGUAGGCGGCCUACUAAGUCGGACGUGAAAUCCCUCGGCUCAACCGGGGAACUGCGUCCGAUACUGGUGGGCUCGAAUCCGGGAGAGGGAUGUGGAAUUCCAGGUGUAGCGGUGAAAUGCGUAGAUAUCUGGAGGAACGCCGGUGGCGAAGGCGGCAUCCUGGACCGGUAUUGACGCUGAUGCGCGAAAGCCAGGGGAGCAAACGGG
RNAcentral lists this ribosomal RNA (253 nucleotides) under uncultured bacterium. RNAcentral describes it as "partial 16S ribosomal RNA". It matches the Rfam family "Bacterial small subunit ribosomal RNA", at positions 524 to 776 of the family's 1533-position model. The record is from RNAcentral.